CCUACGGGGGGCUGCAGUCGAGAAUAUUCCACAAUGGGCGAAAGCCUGAUGGAGCGACGCCGCGUGACUGAAGAAGUCCUUCGGGAUGUAAAGGUCUUUUCUCCGGGACGAAACAAUGACGGUACCGGAGGAAUAAGAGGUUGCUAACUCUGUGCCAGCAGCAGCGGUAAUACAGAGACCUCAAGCGUUAUCCGGAUUGAUUGGGCGUAAAGAGUGCGUAGGUGGCUUCUUAAGCCGAUGGUUAAAUUUUCCAGCUCAACUGGGAAACCGCCGUCGGAACUGGGAAGCUAGAGUAUGGAAGGGGUGAGCGGAAUUGCCGGUGUAACGGUAAAAUGUGUUAAUAUCGGCAAGAACACCAGAGGCGUAGGCGGCUCACUAGUACAUAACUGACACUGAUGCACGAAAGCGUGGGGAGCGAAUGGGAUUAGAUACCCCUGUAGUC
Molecule: ribosomal RNA, 442 nt
Filed under: uncultured bacterium
Lineage: Bacteria
Description: bacterial SSU rRNA
Rfam family: Bacterial small subunit ribosomal RNA
Source: RNAcentral